RNAcentral lists this ribosomal RNA (253 nucleotides) under uncultured bacterium. RNAcentral describes it as "partial 16S ribosomal RNA". It matches the Rfam family "Bacterial small subunit ribosomal RNA", at positions 524 to 776 of the family's 1533-position model. The record is from RNAcentral.
UACAGAGGUCUCAAGCGUUGUUCGGAUUCAUUGGGCGUAAAGGGUGCGUAGGUGGCGCCGUAAGUCAGGUGUGAAAUUUCGGAGCUUAACUCCGAAACUGCAUUUGAUAACUGCGGUGCUUGAGGACUGGAGAGGAGACUGGAAUUCACGGUGAGCAGUGAAAUGCGUAGAUAUCAGGAGGAACACCGAUGGCGAAGGCAGGUCUCUGGGCCACUACUGACGCUGAGAAGCGAAAGCAUGGGGAGCGAACAGG